Molecule: ribosomal RNA, 385 nt
Filed under: uncultured bacterium
Lineage: Bacteria
Description: bacterial SSU rRNA
Rfam family: Bacterial small subunit ribosomal RNA
Source: RNAcentral
GAGCAACGAGCGCAACCCUGAUCCAGCCAUGCCGCGUGUGUGAAGAAGGCCUUCGGGUUGUAAAGCACUUUCAGCGAGGAAGAACGCCAGGGAAUUAAUACCUCCCUGGAAAGACAUCACUCGCAGAAGAAGCACCGGCUAACUCCGUGCCAGCAGCCGCGGUAAUACGGAGGGUGCAAGCGUUAAUCGGAAUUACUGGGCGUAAAGCGCGCGUAGGUGGCUUGAUAAGCCGGUUGUGAAAGCCCCGGGCUCAACCUGGGAACGGCAUCCGGAACUGUCAAGCUAGAGUGCAGGAGAGGAAGGUAGAAUUCCCGGUGUAGCGGUGAAAUGCGUAGAGAUCGGGAGGAAUACCAGUGGCGAAGGCAAUCCCCUGGGCCUGCACUGA